AUUGAACGCUGGCGGCAGGCCUAACACAUGCAAGUCGAGCGAGUGGCGGACGGGUGAGUAAUGUAUGGGUACCUGCCCGAUCGAGGGGGAUAACUACUGGAAACGGUAGCGAAUACCGCAUACUAUCGGAUGUACUCAAAUGGGAUUAGCUAGUAGGUGGGGUAAUGGCUCACCUUGGCGACGAUCACUCGCUGGGCUGCGAGGAUGAACAGCCACACUGGAACUGAGACACGGCCCAGACUCCUACGGGAGGAAGCAGUGGGGAAUAUUGCACAAUGGGCGCAAGCCUGAUGCAGCCAUGCCGCGUGUAUGAAGAAGGCCCUAGGGUUGUAAAGUACUUUCAGUCGGGAGGCGUUACCCACAGAAGAAGCACCGGCUAACUCCGUGCCAGCAGCCGCGGUAAUAC
This 406-nucleotide ribosomal RNA is filed under the name uncultured bacterium. RNAcentral describes it as "partial 16S ribosomal RNA". It matches the Rfam family "Bacterial small subunit ribosomal RNA", at positions 30 to 526 of the family's 1533-position model. The record is from RNAcentral.